Molecule: ribosomal RNA, 1370 nt
Filed under: Apatidelia acuminata
Lineage: Eukaryota; Metazoa; Arthropoda; Insecta; Trichoptera; Apataniidae
Description: 16S ribosomal RNA
Source: RNAcentral
AAUUUAUUCUUAAAAAUAUCUUUUUAUAAUAAAUAAAUUAUUUAAAAUAAUAAUAAAAAAAAAAAUUUUUAUUAAAAAAUUGAAAAAAAUUGUAAUUUUAUAGAAAAUUAGUAUAGUAAUAGAUUGAUGAAAUAAAUGAAAAUUUAAUUUUUUAUAAGUAAAUUUAAUUAAUUGUAUCUUGGGUAUCAGAGAUUAUUUAAAAAUUUUUUAAUAUAAAAAAUUUUCGAAAAUUAAAGAGUUAAUUAAUUAUUUUAGUUAUUGUUAUAUAAAUAUUAAUUAUAAUUAUUUAGAAAUAAAAUGUUAAUCGAUUUAAUUGAUAUCUAAUUAUUAAAGAAAUAAAUUUAAUUUAUGUAUAUUUGUAAUAAUUUAAGUUUUUUAAUUAAUUAAUUUUAUUUAGUAUAUUUAUAUCAAUUGGGAUAAGCUUUUUGUUAAAAAUUUAAAUAAUAUUUCAAAGAAUAAAUUUAAAAAAUAUAAAAAUAAAAUUAUUUAUUAAUUAUAUUUUAUUAUAAAAAAUUUUAAUUAUAAUAAUUAUUUAAUAUAUAAAAUUAUUAAUAAAUAAUUUAUUUAAUUUAUGUGUUUGAAUAAUUUAAAUACAUUAAUAAUGAUAAUAUUAGUAUAUGAAAUAGCUUAAUAGAUUUAAUAAAUUUAAAAGCAUAUUUACAUUAUUUUUAAGAAUUCGGCAAAUUUUAUAUUCGCUUGUUUAACAAAAACAUGUCUUUUUGAUAAAUAAUUUAAAGUCUAAUCUGCCCCCUGAAAAUAUUUUAAAGGGCUGCAGUAUUUUAACUGUACAAAGGUAGCAUAAUAAAUAGGUUUUUAAUUGAAAUCUUGAAUGAAUGAUUGGACGAAAUAUAAUCUGUUUUAUGAUAAUUUAAUAAAAUUUAAUUUUUCAGUUAAAAAGCUGAAAUUAAAUUAAAAGACGAGAAGACCCUAUAAAUCUUUAUAUUAAAAUUAAUUAAAUAAAUUAUUUUUUAAUUUAUAUUUAUUAAAUUAAUUAAAUAUUUUAUUGGGGCGAUAUAAAAAUUUAUAAAACUUUUUAUUAGAUAUAUACUUUAAUUAAAGAUUUUAUUUUUUGAUCUAUUAUUAAUAAUUUAAAGAAAAAGAUACUUUAGGGAUAACAGCGUAAUUUUAAUUUUAAGUUCAAAUUAAAAUUAAAGAUUGCGACCUCGAUGUUGGAUUAAAAUUUAAUUUAAAUGCAAAAGUUUAAAAAUUAAGUCUGUUCGACUUUUAAAAUUUUACAUGAUCUGAGUUCAAACCGGUGUGAGCCAGGUUGGUUUCUAUCUUUAAUAAAAAAAAAUUUUUUAGUACGAAAGGAUCAGAAAUUUUAAAUUAAUUUAAUUAAAAAACAAUGAGAUAAAUUAAUUCUUUAUAAU